GAUGAACGCUGGCGGCGUGCCUAAUACAUGCAAGUCGAGCGAACGGACGAGAAGCUUGCUUCUCUGAUGUUAGCGGCGGACGGGUGAGUAACACGUGGAUAACCUACCUAUAAGACUGGUAUAACUUCGGGAAACCGGAGCUAAUACCGGAUAAUAUUUUGAACCGCAUGGUUCAAAAGUGAAAGACGGUCUUGCUGUCACUUAUAGAUGGAUCCGCGCUGCAUUAGCUAGUUGGUAAGGUAACGGCUUACCAAGGCAACGAUGCAUAGCCGACCUGAGAGGGUGAUCGGCCACACUGGAACUGAGACACGGUCCAGACUCCUACGGGAGGCAGCAGUAGGGAAUCUUCCGCAAUGGGGGAAAGCCUGACGGAGCAACGCCGCGUGAGUGAUGAAGGUCUUCGGAUCGUAAAACUCUGUUAUUAGGGAAGAACAUAUGUGUAAGUAACUGUGCACAUCUUGACGGUACCUAAUCAGAAAGCCACGGCUAACUACGUG
This 497-nucleotide ribosomal RNA is filed under the name uncultured bacterium. RNAcentral describes it as "partial 16S ribosomal RNA". It matches the Rfam family "Bacterial small subunit ribosomal RNA", at positions 28 to 507 of the family's 1533-position model. The record is from RNAcentral.